GGAAAGGUGAAAAGAACCCCGGGAGGGGAGUGAAAGAGAAUCUGAAACCCUAUGUUUACAAGCAGAGAAAGCACAGUUUAAAGUGCGAUCUCGUACUUUUUGUAGAACGGACCGGCGAGUUAUUUUGUGCAGCGAGGUUAAGGGCUACAGGCCCGGAGCCGCAGCGAAAGCGAGUCUGAAAAGGGCGGCAGUUGCAUGAAGUAGACCCGAAACCAGGCGACCUAUCCAUGGACAGGUUGAAGUGGGGGUAAAACCCCAUGGAGGACCGAACCCACGCUUGUUGAAAAAAGCGGGGAUGAGCUGUGGAUAGCGGAGAAAUUCCAAUCGAGCUUGGAGAUAGCUGGUUCUCCUCGAAAUAGCUUUAGGGCUAGCCUCGUUAUUAAGACAUACGGAGGUAGAGCACUGAAUGGGCUAGGGGGCCUCAAAGCUUACCGAACCUUAUCAAACUCCGAAUGCCGUAUGUUAUGAACGGGAGUCAGACUAUGAGAGAUAAGUCCCAUGGUCAAAAGGGAAAGAGCCCAGAACACCGUCUAAGGUCCCGAAAUCGUCGUUAAGUGGAAAAGGAUGUGUAACUGCACAAACAACCAGGAUGUUGGCUUAGAAGCAGCCACUCAUUCAAAGAGUGCGUAACAGCUCACUGGUCUAGUGGUUAUGCGCCGAAAAUGUCCGGGGCUAAAACGGCGUACCGAAGACGUGUCUUGACUUAAAGUCAGGGGUAGAGGAGCAUCGUGCAGUAGGCCGAAGCCGAAUCGUAAGAGACGGUGGACGAGGCACGAGAGAGAAUGCCGGUAUGAGUAGCGAGAAUAAAGUGAGAAUCUUUAUCGUCGAAAGCCUAAGGUUUCCUGGGGAAGGUUCGUCCGCCCAGGGUAAGUCGGGACCUAAGCCGAGGGCGAAUGCCGUAGGCGAUGGACAACUGGUUGAGAUUCCAGUACCACCGGGUCAGCGUUUGACUGAUGCAGUGACACAGGAGGAUAGGCAAAGCGGGUUGAUGGUAGAGCCCGUCCAAGCACUGAGGCAGGCGGCGUAGUGAAGUACGCGCCGCUAAUGCUGGGGUGUGAUGGGGAGAGAAAAUAAGUAUCGAAGUUGCCGAAUUCACACUGGCGAGAAAAGCUGCUAAAGGAGCUGAUCUGGUGCCCGUACCGCAAACCGACACAGGUAGGCGAGGUGAGAAACCUAAGACGAGCGGGAUAACCUUUGUUAAGGAACUCGGCAAAAUGACCCCGUAACUUCGGGAGAAGGGGAGCCCCUGUAAAGGGGGCCGCAGUGAAUAGGCCCAAGCGACUGUUUAGCAAAAACACAGGUCUGUGCGAACUCGAAAGAGGACGUAUACGGGCUGACGCCUGCCCAGUGCCGGAAGGUUAAGGGGAAGUGUUAGUGGCAACGCGAAGCACGGAACUUAAGCCCCGGUGAACGGCGGCCGUAACUAUAACGGUCCUAAGGUAGCGAAAUUCCUUGUCAGGUAAGUUCUGACCCGCACGAAUGGCGU
Molecule: ribosomal RNA, 1486 nt
Filed under: bioreactor metagenome
Description: bacterial LSU rRNA
Rfam family: Bacterial large subunit ribosomal RNA
Source: RNAcentral